RNAcentral lists this non-coding RNA (24 nucleotides) under Cricetulus griseus (Chinese hamster). Lineage: Eukaryota; Metazoa; Chordata; Mammalia; Rodentia; Cricetidae. The record is from RNAcentral.
GGGUGCUGGGAAUCAAACUCUGGG